GACGAACGCUGGCGGCGUGCUUAACACAUGCAAGUCGAACGGAAAGGCCCUGCUUUUGUGGGGUGCUCGAGUGGCGAACGGGUGAGUAACACGUGAGUAACCUGCCCUUGACUUUGGGAUAACUUCAGGAAACUGGGGCUAAUACCGGAUAGGAGCUCCUGCUGCAUGGUGGGGGUUGGAAAGUUUCGGCGGUUGGGGAUGGACUCGCGGCUUAUCAGCUUGUUGGUGGGGUAGUGGCUUACCAAGGCUUUGACGGGUAGCCGGCCUGAGAGGGUGACCGGCGACAUGGGGACUGCGAGAGGGCCCAGACGCCUACGGGAGGCAGCAGUGGGGAAUAUGGCACAAUGGGCGGAAGCCUGAUGCAGCAACGCCGCGUGCGGGAUGACGGCCUUCGGGGUGUAAACCGCUUUCGCCUGUGACGAAGCGUGAGUGACGGUAAUGGGUAAAGAAGCACCGGCUAACUACGUG
This 468-nucleotide ribosomal RNA is filed under the name uncultured bacterium. RNAcentral's name for it is "partial 16S ribosomal RNA". It matches the Rfam family "Bacterial small subunit ribosomal RNA", at positions 28 to 507 of the family's 1533-position model. The record is from RNAcentral.